Molecule: ribosomal RNA, 505 nt
Filed under: uncultured bacterium
Lineage: Bacteria
Description: partial 16S ribosomal RNA
Rfam family: Bacterial small subunit ribosomal RNA
Source: RNAcentral
GACGAACGCUGGCGGCGUGCCUAAUACAUGCCAGUCGAACGCCCAGUCUAUACCGUAGCUUGCUACACCAUAGACUGUGAGUUGCGAACGGGUGAGUAACGCGUAGGUAACCUGCCUGGUAGCGGGGGAUAACUAUUGGAAACGAUAGCUAAUACCGCAUAAUAUUAAUUAUUGCAUGAUAAUUAAUUGAAAGGUGCAAUUGCACCACUAACAGCUGGACCUGCGUUGUAUUAGCUAGUAGGUGAGGUAACGGCUCACCUAGGCGACGAUACAGAGCCGGCCUGGGAGGGUGGUCGGGCACCCUGGGACUGAGACACGGCCCAGACUCCUACGGGGGGCAGCAGUAGGGAAUCUUCGGCAAUGGACGAAAGUCUGAACGAGCAACGCCGCGGGAGUGAAGAAGGGUUUCGGAGCGGAAAGCUCUGUUGGAAGGGAAGAAAGGGUGUGAGAGUGGAAAGUUCACACUGUGACGGUAUCUUACCAGAAAGCGACGGCUAACUACGUG